AGCAGCCGCGGUAAUUCCAGCUCCAAUAGCGUAUAUUAAAGUUGUUGCAGUUAAAAAGCUCGUAGUUGAAUUUCGGGAUCAAUAUUUCGGUCAUGCCGUUGGUAUGCACUGUUAUCAUUGAUUUCUCGCCUUCUAAAGAACCGUAAUGCCAUUAAUUUGGUGUUACGGGGAAUUAGGACUGUUACCUUGAAAAAAUUAGGGUGUUUAAAGCAGGCUCACGCUUGAAUACAUUAGCAUGGAAUAAUGAAGUAGGACAUCCGAUUCUAUUUUGUUGGUUUCUAGGAUCGAUGUAAUGAUUAAUAGGGAUAGUUGGGGGCAUUAGUAUUCAAUUGUCAGAGGUGAAAUUCUUGGAUUUAUUGAAGACUAACUACUGCGAAAGCAUUUGCCAAGGAUGUUUUCAUUAAUCAAGAACGAAAGUUAGGGGAUCGAAGACGAUCAGAUACCGUCGUAGUCUUAACCAUAAACUAUGCCGACUAGGGAUCGGAUGAUGUUAAUUUUUUAAUGAACUCA
RNAcentral lists this ribosomal RNA (510 nucleotides) under uncultured Glomeraceae. RNAcentral describes it as "SSU rRNA". It matches the Rfam family "Eukaryotic small subunit ribosomal RNA", at positions 569 to 1078 of the family's 1831-position model. Lineage: Eukaryota; Fungi; Glomeromycota; Glomeromycetes; Glomerales; Glomeraceae. The record is from RNAcentral.